RNAcentral lists this ribosomal RNA (403 nucleotides) under Fusobacteriota bacterium. RNAcentral's name for it is "Fusobacteria bacterium partial 16S ribosomal RNA". It matches the Rfam family "Bacterial small subunit ribosomal RNA", at positions 355 to 776 of the family's 1533-position model. The record is from RNAcentral. Lineage: Bacteria; Fusobacteriati; Fusobacteriota.
UGGGGAAUAUUGCACAAUGGGGGAAACCCUGAUGCAGCGACGCCGCGUGAGCGAAGAAGGUUUUCGAAUCGUAAAGCUCUGUCCUAUGGGAAGAUAAUGACGGUACCAUAGGAGGAAGCCCCGGCUAACUACGUGCCAGCAGCCGCGGUAAUACGUAGGGGGCAAGCGUUGUCCGGAAUCACUGGGCGUAAAGGGUUCGCAGGCGGAAAUGCAAGUCAGUUGUGAAAGGCAGAGGCUCAACCUCUGUAAGCAAUUGAAACUGUAUUUCUUGAGAUGUGGAGAGGCAAGUGGAAUUCCUAGUGUAGCGGUGAAAUGCGUAGAUAUUAGGAAGAAUACCGGUGACGAAGGCGACUUGCUGGACACAAACUGACGCUGAGGAACGAAAGCGUGGGUAGCAAACAGG